GACGAACGCUGGCGGCGUGCCUAAUACAUGCAAGUUGAGCGCUGAAGGUUGGUACUUGUACCGACUGGAUGAGCAGCGAACGGGUGAGUAACGCGUGGGGAAUCUGCCUUUGAGCGGGGGACAACAUUUGGAAACGAAUGCUAAUACCGCAUAAAAACUUUAAACACAAGUUUUAAGUUUGAAAGAUGCAAUUGCAUCACUCAAAGAUGAUCCCGCGUUGUAUUAGCUAGUUGGUGAGGUAAAGGCUCACCAAGGCGAUGAUACACAGCCGACCUGAGAGGGUGAUCGGCCACAUUGGGACUGAGACACGGCCCAAACUCCUACGGGAGGCAGCAGUAGGGAAUCUUCGGCAAUGGACGAAAGUCUGACCGAGCAACGCCGCGUGAGUGAAGAAGGUUUUCGGAUCGUAAAACUCUGUUGGUAGAGAAGAACGUUGGUGAGAGUGGAAAGCUCAUCAAGUGACGGUAACUACCCAGAAAGGGACGGCUAACUACGUG
RNAcentral lists this ribosomal RNA (497 nucleotides) under uncultured bacterium. RNAcentral's name for it is "partial 16S ribosomal RNA". It matches the Rfam family "Bacterial small subunit ribosomal RNA", at positions 28 to 507 of the family's 1533-position model. The record is from RNAcentral.